CGCCGAGCCACGAGAACCUAACAGCAGGGCCAGCAAUUAGGAUUCCAAAGGCCCGAGUCACCAUAGCAACGUGAUUUGUCUGGCAGUCACGGCGUCCAGCUCGGAUCUCAAGAAACUACCAGUUCAACGAGAGCGAUACGGAUAGAAUGUGGCGCGCACUGCGCAUGGACUCCCCGGUGGUCCCGAAGACUUCUGGGAGUUGUAGGCGCAACCCUGCAGGCCGAGCGAGACGGUCUAGUGCCGCGGCUCGUGGGAACUACAUUUUCCGACGCACCCCACGACCUCCAGACCCCGCCUCUUCCCCGCCCCGUCGGACCCCGCCCCGCCUCUCGCCUGGCGCUGCCAGUGGUGGUCUAGCGGACACCCGGCCGGACGGAGGCGCCCUGCGGUCGCGCCCUUUGACUUGACCUCGUUAGCUCGGGACGGCUAGGGCUCUGGCGCCACAGCCAGCCCAUUCUAACCCCUGUCUGGGCUUGCCUGGCCCAAAUCAGGCAAAGAAGAUUCAGCGGCAUCCGCCUUCUCCACGCAGAGCAGCUGCUUUCUGGGAGCCGGUGACGGGAGUUAAACCCUGUGUUGGUGGUGUUCCGCAGUCCUCGCGCGCGCGGCGACGUGGGCCGCAACCUGGAGGGCUCCGCGCGUCCUCACUGUCGGUUCAGCCCUUCGCUGCCCUUCUCCGCUAACGGAGCCCGGGACGGAGCAGCGUGGUCGGCAGAGCUGACGGGAGCCCCAAGGCUGUCACGACGACGGCGGUGUGACAGAGUCGGGGAUGUCGCCAGCGCCUGGCUGUCGCCCUGCCGAGCUUUUGUUCCUCCCCAGCGACUUCCCGCCCUGUGGCUCCCAGGGUUAGGGUUAGGGUUAGGGUUGUAAAUUUUUUAUUUAAAAGUAAGUAAAAGAUGUAUAGUACAAUUCUGACCGGAAAGAUUUUGUUGUUAAUACCCAGAAGUGCUUUGUUGCAAUAUGCAUUUAUUCACUGAAUACCAGAUAUCGUGAAAAUUAAUGUUGACAGCAAAUCUCCAGGUGUCUCCACUGAGGUGGGGGGCAUUUAUUCAAGUUGUAUAUGUGCACUAAAUUAUAAUGGCAUUUGAUAUGGCCCAAUCACAUUUAAGAACAAACGCGCACCUCCGUUUCCUUUAGCAAAAUCUCUCCACAUCUUCUUGGGGAAUUAAGGUUCCCAAUUAAGAUUUCAAACAACUCCCCACCUAAUUAUUAAUGGAAAUCUUAGCACACAUAACUUUUUCUGCAACACAAAUUUAGGUUCAAAUGAACGUUAUUGGUGGAACUAAUUGAGUUCAAGGGGGGAAAAUCCUUUGUUUUGCUGACAGAGAUGUUUUAGCGCCGAAUUCUGGUUUUCUUUUAGCAAGCUUACUCUUUUACAGUCCAGACCCAUUUUCCUCCAUACAAGAAAGAUAACUUUGAAUGUUGCUCUUCCUGUUUCAAGCUACUUUGUCCGUUUAAAAUACUGUCUUAAACGGAACCCAGAAGAUACAAAUGUUCUUUUGCCCAUCGCAUCAAGGGUACAAACAGCGAUACUGUAGCUAAUGGAUAGACAAUGUACCGCACAGUUCGUUGUGGAAAAAUAUUCUGUUUCCUCAAGAAACUUGACUGAGAUGAGUCAAAGGCUCUCCUGGUUUUAUAACUCUGUAAACAUGGAUGGAAAGAUGGAAAAAAGAUGGAAACAUAAUCAGUAAGCCUGAAAUUUAUUGACUCAGUAAACUCAAUGUGAAGCCUUUCUUUAAGGCAGGGCUUAUUCUCAUAGUUAAAAGAUGUUAUGGAGAUACACUCUGAGGGCUAUUUAAUAGCAGAAAUUACCAUGUAACAAACUCUCUUGGCUCUCUCAGCAAUAAAGGAAAGGAUAAGGUUCAGGUCUGCCUGAACAACAACAAAAAAUUUAUUCUGUAUAAUAGUAUUAUAGAGGUGUGCCAUGUGACAUAGCUCAUCUUCACACAUAAAGGACAGGGGUGGUCUGUAAGCACAGCAACCUGUGGGUGUGCACAUAAGCCAUUCUAUCAAACAGACAUAAAUAUACAUGAUAGGUACAGAGAGAAGGCAUUGUGUCGUUUUUUCUCUAAGUGGUGGGGGAUUUGAAUUAAUCCCUGCACACUGUUUCAUUGGUAACCAAGGGAAACAAAGAUGGCUCUUUAGUAUCAGAAAUUCAGACUGUGGAAAUGGGACUUUAAACAUUUCGGUGGAGGCAGAAAGGAACUCACACACACUCAUCACUGUGUAUAUUUUUAUUUCUUUGUAGGUGACCAACUCAUUGCAUAAACCAUCAAAAAUACCCAGUCGGUCUGGUUUAAUUUAUAUUUUUAGCUAAAAGAGAUUCUUUGCUUUUUUCCUUUUGUUCUUAAGUGACUUUGGCUCUAGGCUAGGGAUUUAGCUCAGCGGCAUAAGUGCCUGCCUUGCAAGCAGGCAGUCAUGAGUUUGAUCCCUGAUACCGAUAAAAAGACAAAAAAAAAAGACUUUGGCUGUUGUGGAAUUAUCUUUUUUUUUUCUCUCUCUCUUUUUCCUUUUUAUCGGUACCAGGAUUGAACUCACAACUGCCUGCUUGGAAAGCAGGCGCUAAUGCCGCUGAGCUAAAUCCCCAGCCUAUUGUGGAAUUAUCUUAUAAAAGGUCCUGCCUCAUCCAAUAAUCAUGGCCUAUUAAUUGGGAACCUGCAUGGCUUUUAAGAAUAGAUCCUCCAGACAGGUGGGGAGCAGAGAGCAAAUGAGGACUGUUUCUGAUCUUUCAAAAUAACUUCUCUUAGUCCUGCCACAAGGUUUACACUAGAGAUGAGAUUUUAGUUAAGAAAGGAGAUGAGACAUCAACAGGAUAAAAAUUCAAGUUUAUAUUCUUACUUAUGUUUUCAUGUUUAGUUUUUGGCAAUAUAGUUGUGUGUGAGCCCGGGUUUGAGAAUGUGUCAUUUUACCACUUUGAGCCAUAUUACUUUUACAUAUUGCUUAUAUCUGUAGCUUAUUCUCUUUAAGUCUCAUUCCUCUCAUUUGUAAAAUGGGAUCGACAGUAAUACUUCACACAAGGAUUAAAUCAGAUAAAACAUGUAAACAUACUUUUCAUACUGAAAAGAACUACACAAAUAUUACUUCUUUUUAGCAUUUAUAAUUUUCCAUUAAGUUUGCCUCAGAAAUGGUAGGCCUGACUUUUGAACAAGUUAAAAGCCUAUUUUAUAUAUAGAUAUAGAUAUAGAUAUUUAUCUGGGGAUUGAACACCAGGGUUUUAUACCUUAAACAUGGGCUCUACUGUUAAGCUACAUCUCCAGCCCCCAAAAUUCUUACUUUUAACAAGAGACUAUUAGAAAUUAUGUGGUGUGUUCAUAUUAUCUUUCUCCAAUUUGUAAGCAGGAAGAACCAACUUUAAAGGAAAAAAUGACAAAUCCAGAGUUGAACAUGGCUAGUCUCAGAUUCACAAGGUCUCUACCCACUGUACCACGAUGGGCACUGUUCUUGGUGGCACAGCAAGCCCUUUCCAGCUUCCCAGCUGGAAAAGACUACAUAGGUUGCAGAUAAAAAGAAGGGAAGCCAAGGUAUUUAUCCAUGCCCUGCCCUGGGUGAUGUUUAUGACAGUAAGGGCAGCUUUGCCUGUUGGACUGGUCUGUCAUGGUUCCAACUAUAUUAACAGUAACUUUUCCCUUUGUCCCUGCAACCUGAGGGUAGAGGUACCUUCCUGCUGUUACUAAUGCUUGAGUUGCAAGUUUGGCUUCCCAAGUCAUCUGUCAUCAGUGUGGCCAAAUCCCUAUACCAUUUAACCUCUAUUUUAGAGACUCAGAAUAAUUUGUUUUCUUAGUGAAGCACCUUGAUCUACUUAUGCCUUAAAGACUUUUAGGGGCAGAAAACAGAAACUUUGUCUGGCCAGUUUAAGCAAAAUGAAGAAAGAAUGUAGUUAAAUUUAUUUAAAGGAUUAAACCAACAAGGUUUAGGAAGAACAGGAACCUGACUGAUUGGGACCUUUGAAAUGGUUUGUAGGCCUUCUGCAAAGAGGUGGUUGCUCUCACCUCUUUGCUACUUUGUUCCAAAUUUUAAUUCCUAAGAGACACUGUCUCAGGCUAACUAUCCCUGACUUAAUUAUCUGUGGUGCUUGAAGGUAGAUUUUCAGAACAGCAGCCUUGACAUCCCCUAAGAAUUGGUUAGAAAUGCAAAUAUUGGGCCACACCCACACAACAAGUAGAAAAGAAACUUUAGGGAUGGGUCCCACAAUUUGAAUUGUAGUCAGUCUUUAUCUGCUAGACUGGUGAAAGAUUAUGAGCCUUGAUAAUACCAAAGACUUUGAAAAGGUGUCCUGUCUCGGGGAUUGAUCACCCUGGGCCCUGCUCUAUGCAGCUGAGUCUUGUCAGAGAGGAGAAGCACCAUAAACCUAGCAGUGACAUCAUGUGGUGCAAAGUGGGUAAACUGUCUGAGUCUUUAUGGUAAAAUUUUGCUGUUUUGAGUAUUUUUUUAUGUUCAACACCAUUCAGUCAAUUUCAAUUACAGUUUGUCACUGCAAAGGCAUUUAGGAAAAGUUCAUUUCAUUGGAUUUUACUGCAAACUCAGAAUUACUGAAAGACAAGGCAAAAGAGACAGAAUCAUAGAAAAAUACAAAAUACAUGUAGUAGUAGGGCCAAGUAAGACAGAUGUGCAAAUUGGAUGUAGCCACUCAAAGCUCUCCACACAUCACAGAUAGCCUCUGGACUUUGAGAAACAGCACCUCUGUUUCUUAAGACUUUGCUACUUCUGUAUCAGCUUCUUCAUUACUGGCUUAUCUUUCAUCGGUCUGGGAGAUCUGCUUUGUAUACUUCUGUAACCACAGGCACCAUUUGCUUGCUUAUAUUAUUUAAAAUUUAAUAAAAUGUUAAAAUCCAA
This is a long non-coding RNA of Cavia porcellus (domestic guinea pig), 4830 nucleotides long. RefSeq lists it as uncharacterized. Lineage: Eukaryota; Metazoa; Chordata; Mammalia; Rodentia; Caviidae. The transcript has 2 exons. The record is from RefSeq and is a predicted model, not a curated record.